UGCCUUAGUAACGGCGAGUGAAGCGGCAACAGCUCAAAUUUGAAAUCUGGCCCCCUUGAGGCCCGAGUUGUAAUUUGUAGAGGGUGCUUUGGCAUUGGCCUCGGCCUAAGUUCCUUGGAACAGGAUGUCACAGAGGGUGAGAAUCCCGUAUGUGGCCGGUGGCCUUCGCCUUGUAAAGUCCCUUCGACGAGUCGAGUUGUUUGGGAAUGCAGCUCUAAAUGGGAGGUAAAUUUCUUCUAAAGCUAAAUAUUGGCCAGAGACCGAUAGCGCACAAGUAGAGUGAUCGAAAGAUGAAAAGCACUUUGGAAAGAGAGUGAGAUAGCACGUGAAAUUGUUGAAAGGGAAGCGCUUGCGGCCAGACAUGCCCGCCGUUGCCCCGCCUGGCUCAUGCAAGGUGGACUCUCCGGCGGGCAGGCCAGCAUCAGUCUGGGCGGCCGGACAAAGGCCCCGGGAAUGUGGCUCCCCUCGGGGAGUGUUAUAGCCCGGGGUGCAAUGCGACCAGCCAGGACUGAGGCCCGCGCAUCUGCUAGGAUGCUGGCGUAAUGGCUGCAAGCGGCCCGUCUUGAAACACGGACCAAGGAGUCUAACAUCUAUGCGAGUGUUUGGGUGUGAAGCCCUGACGCGCAAUGAAAGUGAAUGCAGGUGGGAACCCCCCCCCCUGGGGGUGCACCAUCGACCGAUCCUGAUGUUUUCGGAUGGAUUUGAGUAAGAGCAUAGCUGUUGGGACCCGAAAGAUGGUGAACUAUGCCUGAAUAGGGUGAAGCCAGAGGAAACUCUGGUGGAGGCUCGCAGCGGUUCUGACGUGCAAAUCGAUCGUCGAAUUUGGGCAUAGGGGCGAAAGACUAAUCG
Molecule: ribosomal RNA, 849 nt
Filed under: Salsuginea phoenicis
Lineage: Eukaryota; Fungi; Ascomycota; Dothideomycetes; Pleosporales
Description: partial large subunit ribosomal RNA
Rfam family: Eukaryotic large subunit ribosomal RNA
Source: RNAcentral